UCAUUGUAGGGUUAGUCGGGACCUAAGCCGAGUCCGAAAGGGGUAGGGGAUGGCAAAUUGGUUAAUAUUCCAAUACCUACCAUAGAGCGGGAUGGGGGGACGCAUAGGGCUAAAGGAGGUCACUGAUGGAAUAGUGGCUCGAAGGGUGUAGGUUGAGAUAUAGGCAAAUCCGUAUCUCUUUAUUCAAGACCCAACCGGCUUCCAAACUUUUUUGGAAGGGCGGGAGAAUCCUUGAAGCCGUCGUGCCAAGAAAAACCUUUAAGUUUAUUUAUGGUAGCCCGUACCGUAAACCGACCCAGGUGGGUGAGAUGAGUAUUUUAAGGGGGGUGGAAGAACCCCGGUUAAGGAACUUUGCAAAUUGACCCCGUAAGUUCGGGAGAAGGUGUGCCUUAUAGGUCAAACGGCUUGCCCGUGGAAACCUUACAAGGUUGCAACAAAGAGUCCCUCCCGACUGUUUAC
This 459-nucleotide ribosomal RNA is filed under the name uncultured Campylobacterota bacterium. RNAcentral describes it as "bacterial LSU rRNA". It matches the Rfam family "Bacterial large subunit ribosomal RNA", at positions 1369 to 1807 of the family's 2925-position model. Lineage: Bacteria; Pseudomonadati; Campylobacterota. The record is from RNAcentral.